CAGUUGAGAGGGCCGCAUCAGGCGGUUCGCCAGGCACAAGCCUACUCGGCUG
The submitters of this non-coding RNA (52 nucleotides) gave its source as unclassified sequences. The record is from Rfam.